AUUGUUUGGUCAACUGGAGAUCUAGAAAAUCCAUGAGAGCUUCUCUGAACACAAAAAACCACCAGAUGAAAGAUAUACAUGGGCAUCAGGAUAUGUAUUUGGCAGAUUUUGCAUAUGAAGCAAAUAGACUGACAUGUAUCGGGAAUAGUUUUGACGUCAUAUGCGAAAAACCAUGGUAACAUUUUUUCAACACAUGCCAAAUGAAGUUCCCAAUUACCUUCCCUUGUUGCUCUUAUAAAUAUCAAUAAAAGUUC
RNAcentral lists this long non-coding RNA (254 nucleotides) under Mytilus galloprovincialis (Mediterranean mussel). Lineage: Eukaryota; Metazoa; Mollusca; Bivalvia; Mytilida; Mytilidae. The record is from RNAcentral.